This 540-nucleotide ribosomal RNA is filed under the name Sus scrofa domesticus (domestic pig). RNAcentral describes it as "partial 16S ribosomal RNA". It matches the Rfam family "Bacterial large subunit ribosomal RNA", at positions 1861 to 2620 of the family's 2925-position model. Lineage: Eukaryota; Metazoa; Chordata; Mammalia; Artiodactyla; Suidae. The record is from RNAcentral.
GCCCAGUGACACCAGUUUAACGGCCGCGGUAUUCUGACCGUGCAAAGGUAGCAUAAUCACUUGUUCUCCAAAUAAGGACUUGUAUGAAUGGCCACACGAGGGUUUUACUGUCUCUUACUUCCAAUCAGUGAAAUUGACCUUCCCGUGAAGAGGCGGGAAUAAAAAAAUAAGACGAGAAGACCCUAUGGAGCUUUAAUUAACUAUUCCAAAAGUUAAACAAUUCAACCACAAAGGGAUAAAACAUAACUUAACAUGGACUAGCAAUUUCGGUUGGGGUGACCUCGGAGUACAAAAAAACCUCCGAGUGAUUUUAAUCUAGACAAACCAGUCAAAAUAACCAUAACAUCACUUAUUGAUCCAAAAUUUUGAUCAACGGAACAAGUUACCCUAGGGAUAACAGCGCAAUCCUAUUCUAGAGUUCCUAUCGACAAUAGGGUUUACGACCUCGAUGUUGGAUCAGGACACCCAAAUGGUGCAACCGCUAUUAAAGGUUCGUUUGUUCAACGAUUAAAGUCCUACGUGAUCUGAGUUCAAACCGGA